Molecule: ribosomal RNA, 922 nt
Filed under: Bacillus subtilis
Lineage: Bacteria; Bacillati; Bacillota; Bacilli; Caryophanales; Bacillaceae
Description: bacterial SSU rRNA
Rfam family: Bacterial small subunit ribosomal RNA
Source: RNAcentral
AAGGGCUCGCAGGCGGUUUCUUAAGUCUGAUGUGAAAGCCCCCGGCUCAACCGGGGAGGGUCAUUGGAAACUGGGGAACUUGAGUGCAGAAGAGGAGAGUGGAAUUCCACGUGUAGCGGUGAAAUGCGUAGAGAUGUGGAGGAACACCAGUGGCGAAGGCGACUCUCUGGUCUGUAACUGACGCUGAGGAGCGAAAGCGUGGGGAGCGAACAGGAUUAGAUACCCUGGUAGUCCACGCCGUAAACGAUGAGUGCUAAGUGUUAGGGGGUUUCCGCCCCUUAGUGCUGCAGCUAACGCAUUAAGCACUCCGCCUGGGGAGUACGGUCGCAAGACUGAAACUCAAAGGAAUUGACGGGGGCCCGCACAAGCGGUGGAGCAUGUGGUUUAAUUCGAAGCAACGCGAAGAACCUUACCAGGUCUUGACAUCCUCUGACAAUCCUAGAGAUAGGACGUCCCCUUCGGGGGCAGAGUGACAGGUGGUGCAUGGUUGUCGUCAGCUCGUGUCGUGAGAUGUUGGGUUAAGUCCCGCAACGAGCGCAACCCUUGAUCUUAGUUGCCAGCAUUCAGUUGGGCACUCUAAGGUGACUGCCGGUGACAAACCGGAGGAAGGUGGGGAUGACGUCAAAUCAUCAUGCCCCUUAUGACCUGGGCUACACACGUGCUACAAUGGACAGAACAAAGGGCAGCGAAACCGCGAGGUUAAGCCAAUCCCACAAAUCUGUUCUCAGUUCGGAUCGCAGUCUGCAACUCGACUGCGUGAAGCUGGAAUCGCUAGUAAUCGCGGAUCACAUGCCCGGGGGGAAAAACGUUCCCGGGGCCUUGUACACACCGCCCGUCACACCACGAAGAGUUUGUAACACCCGAAGUCGGUGAGGUAACCUUUUAGGAGCCAGCCGCCGAAGGUGGGACAGAUGAUUGGGGU